UGAAAACGAAAUGGCCACCUCCU
Molecule: non-coding RNA, 23 nt
Filed under: Rattus norvegicus (Norway rat)
Lineage: Eukaryota; Metazoa; Chordata; Mammalia; Rodentia; Muridae
Source: RNAcentral